This 431-nucleotide ribosomal RNA is filed under the name uncultured bacterium. Its description in RNAcentral is "bacterial SSU rRNA". It matches the Rfam family "Bacterial small subunit ribosomal RNA", at positions 917 to 1345 of the family's 1533-position model. The record is from RNAcentral.
GGGCCCGCACAAGCGGUGGAGCAUGUGGCUUAAUUCGAGGCAACGCGAAGAACCUUACCUGGUCUUGACAUGCCCGUCAUAGUUUUCCGAAAGGAAUUCGUCAGUUCGGCUGGACGGUGCACAGGUGCUGCAUGGCUGUCGUCAGCUCGUGUCGUGAGAUGUUCGGUUAAGUCCGGCAACGAGCGCAACCCUCGUUCCUAGUUGCCAGCGGGUAAUGCCGGGGACUCUAGGAAGACAAACCUCGUGUAGAGGUGGGAAGGUGGGGACGACGUCAAGUCAGUAUGGCCCUUACGACCAGGGCUGCACACGUGCUACAAUGCCCAGCACAAUGGGAUGCAACGCCGCGAGGUUGAGCAAAUCCACAAAACUGGGCCCAGUUCGGAUUGGAGUCUGCAACUCGACUCCAUGAAGUUGGAAUCGCUAGUAAUGGC